CCCUUAGAUGUCCUGGGCCGCACGCGCGCUACACUGAACGGAUCAGCGCGUUUUCCCUUCCCGAGAGGGACGGGUAACCUGCUGAACCCCGUUCGUGGUAGGGAUCGGGGCUUGCAAUUAUUCCCCGUGAACCAGGAAUGCCCAGUAAGUGCAAGUCAUAAGCUUGCGUUGAUUACGUCCCUGCCCUUUGUACACACCGCCCGUCGCUCCUACAGAUUGAGCAGUCCGGUGAAUACUUCGGACCGUUUGCAUAGAUGGUUCGCCAUCUUUGCGAAUGGAAAGUCGAGUGAACCUUACUGCUUAGAUGAAGGAGAAGUCGUAACA
This 324-nucleotide ribosomal RNA is filed under the name uncultured eukaryote. Its description in RNAcentral is "partial 18S ribosomal RNA". It matches the Rfam family "Eukaryotic small subunit ribosomal RNA", at positions 1470 to 1796 of the family's 1831-position model. The record is from RNAcentral.